This 493-nucleotide ribosomal RNA is filed under the name uncultured bacterium. RNAcentral describes it as "partial 16S ribosomal RNA". It matches the Rfam family "Bacterial small subunit ribosomal RNA", at positions 28 to 506 of the family's 1533-position model. The record is from RNAcentral.
GACGAACGCUGGCGGCGUGCUUAACACAUGCAAGUCGAACGGAAAGGCCUGCUUUCCCUUGUGGAUUGCGGGUACUCGAGUGGCGAACGGGUGAGUAACACGUGAGUGAUCUGCCCCCAACUUGGGUAUAAGCCUGGGAAACUGGGUCUAAUUCCCGAUAGGACUGCAGGGUGGUGCCUGUGGUGGAAAACGAUUUUCUAGUGGUUGGGGAUGAGCUCGCGGCCUAUCAGCUUGUUGGUGGGGUAAUGGCCUACCAAGGCGGCGACGGGGAGCCGGCCUGAGAGGGUGGACGGCCACAUUGGGACUGAGAUACGGCCCAGACUCCGACGGGAGGCAGCAGUGGGGAAUAGUGCACAAUAGGCGGAAGCCUGAUGCAGCGACGCCGCGUGGGGGAUGACGGCCUUCGGGUUGUAAACUCCUUUCGACCGCGAGGAAGCCACCUGGUGGGAAGGGUGGUGACGGUAGUGGUAGAAGAAGCACCGGCUAACUACGU